AGGAAAACAACUUUCUGACAUCUUCACCAAAGAAUUUCCUAGAGAAAAUUUUUGCAAUCUUCGAGAACGCAUUUGAUUUAUCAAACAAAUACAUUAAGUAGGAUUGUUGAAAUUAAUGCAUCAAUGUUUAGUCUUCCGAAAUUGUCUCUUAGUUUUUCAAGAAUUCUUUUUAGAAUUUCGUCGUACAUGAAUCUAGUAAAUUGUGAUAUAUGUAUUUAGUUAUUUGUGCAAGA
This 233-nucleotide unclassified non-coding RNA is filed under the name Hevea brasiliensis (rubber tree). Lineage: Eukaryota; Viridiplantae; Streptophyta; Magnoliopsida; Malpighiales; Euphorbiaceae. The record is from RNAcentral.